GAUGAAGAACGCAGCGAAAUGCGAUAAGUAGUGUGAAUUGCAGAAUUCCGUGAAUCAUCGAAUCUUUGAACGCACAUUGCGCCUUCUGGUAUUCCGGAAGGCAUGCCUGUUCGAGAGUCAUUAACAACCGUUUCGAUCCCUUUCUUUCAGAAAUUACAAAGAGGAAAAGGGUUUGGUUAUGGUGGAGGAGGGAAAGGGAGCGUUUAGCCUGUAAAAAAAGAGGCUGUGUUCCGCCUCCCCCCCAAAAUUGUACAGGCGGUCGUGUGCGCCCACGCAUCGAGGUGUUGUAAAAGCUGCCACGGCACUUUUCACCUGUGCAGUGCGAGAUUGGCCAGCCGGUUUAAAACCCCUCCAAACAAUCAAAGGUUGACCUCGGAUCAGGUAGGGAUACCCGCUGAACUUAAGCAUAUCAAUAAGCGGAGGA
Molecule: unclassified non-coding RNA, 424 nt
Filed under: soil metagenome
Description: partial contains 5.8S ribosomal RNA, internal transcribed spacer 2, and large subunit ribosomal RNA
Rfam family: 5.8S ribosomal RNA (bases 1-120)
Source: RNAcentral